Molecule: unclassified non-coding RNA, 523 nt
Filed under: Bartonella taylorii
Lineage: Bacteria; Pseudomonadati; Pseudomonadota; Alphaproteobacteria; Hyphomicrobiales; Bartonellaceae
Description: partial 16S-23S ribosomal RNA intergenic spacer
Rfam family: tRNA (bases 169-242)
Source: RNAcentral
UCUUCAGGAGGAGAUCCCAAGCCUUCUGGCGGUCUACGCAAGUAAGCUCUCAUCAAAAGCUUUAAGGAAAGCUCUUUGUUUUUUGAAAUGAUGCUUUUAUGAGAUAGAGCUUUUUUAGAUAAUGCUUUUUUAGAUAAUGCUGGGGAAGGUUUUCCGGUUUAUCUCGGAGGGCUUGUAGCUCAGUUGGUUAGAGCGCGCGCUUGAUAAGCGUGAGGUCGGAGGUUCAAGUCCUCCCAGGCCCACCAAUUUACCUAUCCAUUUGCCUUUAUCCGUUUAUUUGCCGAUUUAUCGGUCUAUUGAAUUUAAGUGUUGGUAGCAGUUUUUAUAAUGAUGAGAAAUCAUGCUUAUAAAAGAACUCCUUAUAAAAGGCUUGUUUUUAAAAUGUGACGCUUAUCCAUUUCGCUUAGGCAAGAGAAACUUCAAGCGGUUCAAAUGCAAAAGGCUUUAAAUUUUGCAAAACAAUUUGAAUUUUAAAGUGAUCCAAGUUCGUGAUCUCGAAUUUAAAAGUUUCGAAUGCUUUAUC